UGUCUAUUAAUUGUAGACCAGCAUGAAAGGCAACAUGAGGGCCCAACUGUCUCUUAUAAUAAAUCAAUAAAACUGAUCUCCUAGUAAAAAAGCUAGAAUUUUACCAUAAGACCAGAAGACCCUGUGAAGCUUAAACUAAACUAUUAAAACAUAUAAUAACUACUUUCGGUUGGGGCGACCUUGGAAAAAAAAAGAACUUCCAAUACAUUAACAUACCAAACCACACUAGGCCUACAAGCCACACAUUACGACCCAGCAUAGCUGAUUAUUGAACCAAGUUACUCCAGGGAUAACAGCGCCAUCUUCUUCAAGAGCCCAUAUCAAAAAGAAGGUUUACGACCUCGAUGUUGGAUCAGGACAUCCUAA
This 366-nucleotide ribosomal RNA is filed under the name Siphlophis ayauma (Devil's head spotted night snake). RNAcentral's name for it is "partial 16S ribosomal RNA". It matches the Rfam family "Bacterial large subunit ribosomal RNA", at positions 1970 to 2550 of the family's 2925-position model. The record is from RNAcentral. Lineage: Eukaryota; Metazoa; Chordata; Lepidosauria; Squamata; Dipsadidae.